RNAcentral lists this ribosomal RNA (465 nucleotides) under Vreelandella stevensii. RNAcentral's name for it is "partial 16S ribosomal RNA". It matches the Rfam family "Bacterial small subunit ribosomal RNA", at positions 338 to 795 of the family's 1533-position model. Lineage: Bacteria; Pseudomonadati; Pseudomonadota; Gammaproteobacteria; Oceanospirillales; Halomonadaceae. The record is from RNAcentral.
CCUACGGGUGGCUGCAGUGGGGAAUAUUGGACAAUGGGCGAAAGCCUGAUCCAGCCAUGCCGCGUGUGUGAAGAAGGCCUUCGGGUUGUAAAGCACUUUCAGUGGGGAAGAAAGCCUUGGGGCUAAUACCCUCGAGGAAGGACAUCACCCACAGAAGAAGCACCGGCUAACUCCGUGCCAGCAGCCGCGGUAAUACGGAGGGUGCGAGCGUUAAUCGGAAUUACUGGGCGUAAAGCGCGCGUAGGCGGUCUGAUAAGCCGGUUGUGAAAGCCCCGGGCUCAACCUGGGAACGGCAUCUGGAACUGUCAGGCUAGAGUGCAGGAGAGGAAGGUAGAAUUCCCGGUGUAGCGGUGAAAUGCGUAGAGAUCGGGAGGAAUACCAGUGGCGAAGGCGGCCUUCUGGACUGACACUGACGCUGAGGUGCGAAAGCGUGGGUAGCAAACAGGAUUAGAUACCCCAGUAGUC